Fundulus heteroclitus (mummichog) is the source of this 590-nucleotide long non-coding RNA. RefSeq lists it as uncharacterized. The record is from RefSeq and is a predicted model, not a curated record. The transcript has 2 exons. NCBI's taxonomy places the organism in Eukaryota, Metazoa, Chordata, Actinopteri, Cyprinodontiformes, Fundulidae.
GUCGCUGGCGCCGCCUCCCACCCAGAGGCUGGUGCCGUCGGGGGUCACCAGCACAAAAGCAUCAUUGGAGUUCAGGUUCGCCGCCACUGCGUCAAGCUGCAGGAUAACAGAGACACGGUUGGCUUUGAGCGUCACCAGAGACGAGAGGAGCAGAUUUGGAGAUGCGGACGUGACUGCAGCCCGUGUUUCUGCCGGGAUGGAUGGCUUUCUUGCUGCAGCAGGGACACAACGUAAACUCAAAGGUUGUCCAUGCGAAGUGACCACAACAAAGGAAAUAAACACAAGUAAGGUAAUCCUAAUGCUUCAACAUCAGCCAAGUUGACAGUUUGGAGCCAGGACUGAUGGGAGCAUCUCAUCAGCUUCCACCCUGGGAUGUCCCGUUUGUGUUAGACUCAGCCAGUUUCCCUGACUGCUCACAUAUUUUUGUCUGCGGCUCUAAGAAACAUAGCAUUGCAGUCACUUUGCAUGGAGUGAAGAGUAGCAGGGGAAGGAGGGGGGAAAUACCUGAGUGGUUAUAGGAGCACCAACAACCUGAGGAGGAAGGCGGGGCAGAAACCAAGGAGCAAAGAAGCAGCAGAAGGGAAAAAAAA